UAGGGAAUCUUCGGCAAUGGACGGAAGUCUGACCGAGCAACGCCGCGUGAGUGAAGAAGGUUUUCGGAUCGUAAAGCUCUGUUGUAAGAGAAGAACGAGUGUGAGAGUGGAAAGUUCACACUGUGACGGUAUCUUACCAGAAAGGGACGGCUAACUACGUGCCAGCAGCCGCGGUAAUACGUAGGUCCCGAGCGUUGUCCGGAUUUAUUGGGCGUAAAGCGAGCGCAGGCGGUUAGAUAAGUCUGAAGUUAAAGGCUGUGGCUUAACCAUAGUACGCUUUGGAAACUGUUUAACUUGAGUGCAGAAGGGGAGAGUGGAAUUCCAUGUGUAGCGGUGAAAUGCGUAGAUAUAUGGAGGAACACCGGUGGCGAAAGCGGCUCUCUGGUCUGUAACUGACGCUGAGGCUCGAAAGCGUGGGGAGCAAACAGGAUUAGAUACCCUGGUAGUCCACGCCGUANACGAUGAGUGCUAGGUGUUGGGUCCUUUCCGGGACUCAGUGCCGCAGCUAACGCAUUAAGCACUCCGCCUGGNGAGUACGACCGCAAGUUUG
Molecule: ribosomal RNA, 550 nt
Filed under: uncultured bacterium
Lineage: Bacteria
Description: bacterial SSU rRNA
Rfam family: Bacterial small subunit ribosomal RNA
Source: RNAcentral